Molecule: non-coding RNA, 78 nt
Organism: Schistosoma haematobium
Lineage: Eukaryota; Metazoa; Platyhelminthes; Trematoda; Strigeidida; Schistosomatidae
Source: Rfam
AGCUUUGUGAAUCCGUCCAGAGAUUUCAUCAGACAACGAUCCAUUAGGACUGAUUAAACUUCCAAGAUAAGUGAAACU